CCUACGGGAGGCAGCAGUGAGGAAUAUUGGUCAAUGGGCGCGAGCCUGAACCAGCCAAGUCGCGUGAGGGAAGACGGUCCUAUGGAUUGUAAACCUCUUUUGUCGGGGAGCAAAAGACGCCACGCGUGGCGUUCCGAGAGUACCCGAAGAAAAAGCAUCGGCUAACUCCGUGCCAGCAGCCGCGGUAAUACGGAGGAUGCGAGCGUUAUCCGGAUUUAUUGGGUUUAAAGGGGGCGCAGGCGGAAGAUCAAGGCAGCGGUAAAAGUGGGGGGCGCAACCUCUUCGUGCCGUUGAAACUGGUUUUCUUGAGUGAGCGAGAAGUAUGCGGAAUGCGUGGUGUAGCGGUGAAAUGCAUAGAUAUCACGCAGAACUCCGAUUGCGAAGGCAGCAUACCGGCGCUCAACUGACGCUCAUGCACGAAAGUGUGGGUAUCGAACAGGAUUAGAUACCCCAGUAGUC
Molecule: ribosomal RNA, 459 nt
Filed under: uncultured bacterium
Lineage: Bacteria
Description: partial 16S ribosomal RNA
Rfam family: Bacterial small subunit ribosomal RNA
Source: RNAcentral